UACGAAGGGGGCUAGCGUUGCUCGGAAUCACUGGGCGUAGAGCGCACGUAGGCGGACUCUUAAGUCGGUGGUGAAAUCCUGGAGCUCAACUCCAGAACUGCCUUCGAUACUGAGAGUCUCGAGUCCGGGAGAGGUGAGUGGAACUGCGAGUGUAGAGGUGAAAUUCGUAGAUAUUCGCAAGAACACCAGUGGCGAAGGCGGCUCACUGGCCCGGUACUGACGCUGAGGUGCGAAAGCGUGGGGAGCAAACAGG
RNAcentral lists this ribosomal RNA (253 nucleotides) under uncultured bacterium. RNAcentral's name for it is "partial 16S ribosomal RNA". It matches the Rfam family "Bacterial small subunit ribosomal RNA", at positions 524 to 776 of the family's 1533-position model. The record is from RNAcentral.